GGGCAGCUCAGGGAAGCAGGGCAGGAGGCUGCUCCUUCCUUCCUUCCCCUCUGCCUUGCAGAUGGACAGCCCAACACCAAUGGCUCCAGAUGCCCAAAAGUGAUGGAGCUCAGCCCUCCAAACUGCUGUUCACGCGCUACAAAGAAGGUGCUGGCACCAGACCUGCUGAUUGCAGUGGCCCUUUCCACAAUGACGUGGGGCAGCAACUCGGUGAGCAAGGCUGCGCAGGGGAGGGCAGCACAGGGCAGCAGGGCAGGAGGCUGCUCCUUUUAUUCCUCCCCCUCUGCCUUGCAGAUGGACAGCCCAACACAAAUGGCUCCAGAUGACCCAAAGUGCUGGAGCUCAGCCCUGCAAACUGCUGUCCCACAAAAAAGGUGCUGGCACCACACCACCUGAUUGCAGUGGCCGUGUCAACAUGGCACUGGUGACCCAAACGGCCAAGGAAACCAUUUUCAGAGCAGCAACCCGGUGAGCAGGGCUGUGCAGGGGAGGGCAGCACAGGGCAGCAGGGCAGGAGGCUGCUCCCUUCUUCCUUCCUUCCCCUCUGCCUUGCAGAUGGGCAUCCGCACCAAGAUGGAACCAGAGCAGGACACACGCCUGUCCUCAGCUCUCCAUCUGGUCUCCGUGCCCCCAGGACAGCCCUGGGGACACAGGCAGCCCCACACAGCCAUGGAAAUGGCUGGCAGAGCAGCAACCCGGUGAGCAGGGCUGUGCAGGGGAGUUCAGCACAGGGCAGCAGGGCAGGAGGCUGCUCCUUCCUUCCUUCCUCUCCCUCUGCCUUGCAGAAGGACAGCCCAACAGCCUGCCAGCACCUUCAGUGCUGCACACAUCAGCGCCUCCAGGAACCACAAGGAUGGUGUGAAACAGAACUCUGAAGACCAGGAUGCAACAAGAGCCUAAAAGGGAUGGAUGGGCCCAAUGCAGAAAUACCACAG
Meleagris gallopavo (turkey) is the source of this 935-nucleotide non-coding RNA. The record is from RefSeq and is a predicted model, not a curated record. NCBI's taxonomy places the organism in Eukaryota, Metazoa, Chordata, Aves, Galliformes, Phasianidae.